GCGACGAAGAGGAUGCUGAUGGAGUGACGAAGAGGAUGCUGAUGGAGCGACGAAGAGGAUGCUGACGGAGAGACGGGAAGCAUGCUGAUGGAAAACAAGAUGAGAUUUUUAAGAAAUCUUGGAUUUUGAGAGAGCAUAUAUACUCUGUUGAAUUCGGCGUAUUCUUACUAAGUCAGAGAGUUCCCUCGCUCUCUGACUUAGAAAACGAAUUUUGUGGUAAAGUAUUUCAAAGUAGGCUCCUGCCACCUAUUUUGGAAUAAUGUUGUACAAAUUUCUAUUAAGUAAUGAUUUUAGAAUAAUAAUGUUGUUUGAAAAGCAUUUAUGCCGUGAUGAAUAAAUAACAUCCAUCGGUAGUUUUGAAACGACUGUCAGCUUAAAAUAUGCAUAUGUAUUUAAAUUAAACAUGGUCACCAUGCCAGCAAGUGUCAGCGUUUGAUAAAUGUAUUUCGAAAUACGCUUUUCAAUGCAAUAUGGAAAUUUGCCAUCAUAACGUGCACAAAAUCACUGUUUCGUAAUAAUAUAUACGCAAUUUUAACAAAUAUUUAAUGUUUGGGGCUGUUUUCAUUCAACCGUAGCUAUAGUGUGUUUUCUUUUGACGUCAUAUAAGCCAUGUUGGGAGAGUACAUGAGAGUGUCGAAGCUCAGCAAAGCAUAAAAUUAGCAGAAAUUCUUUUCACUGUAUGGAAUUUUGCCCCAACAUGGUAACUGAUGAAAACAAUUUAGAGGAAGAAAUCAUUAAGGUGUAAAAUGAUUUUUUCAUCAGCUGGCAAUCCAUUUGGGACUUUUCACAGUAUUUUUAAUUCACGAAAAUUUACAUAAAACGUACAAAAUGACAUACCUCGCAACAAGUAUAAAACAUGUGAAAAUUGAUCAUCAAAUUUACUGGCAUUUCCCCAGUAUAGUAGCGGCAUCUUCUUUCAUGUUUAGAGAUUAUUUUACACCUCAAUGUUUUCUACUCUCAUGUCCUUAGACCCAAAAAAAAAAAAUUUACAUCUGUAAUGUAAUGUAUGAUAAACUUAAGAAUAAAUUUAAGAGAAAGGAACUUCUCAAACGACUUCAAGUAAUAUGUAAAUUUUAGCAAGUAAAAAUGUUCGUACAAUAAAUUAUAAAAAACAAUCUCCAAACAUUGUUUAAGAUUUUUAGACAUUAAGCUGGCUUGAAGACCACUGUUUUUUGCAAAAAAUUCGGCAAUUUCGAAGUGAUGUAUUUCGCCUCCGUACUUUCAAUGGCGGCGCUCAUGCAGGCUUCAAAGAUGGCGUCCAAGUUAGCCUUCCAGUUGUUGUAGAGUUCACUGGGUUUAAAUAAGGUCGAGAUAGAUAGUUCACUAUACCACGACGAAAAAUUGCAUGUAAUUUACAAACUCUUGGCGUCACGUUCAUUUGCUAUAAUAAAAUUUACAAUAAAUAUUUUUUUAUUAUUGAUUGAACUAUGGACGAAUAAGAAAAUUCUUAUCUAGAAAUGACAUGAAUGAAAGGCAAAAGUAAAUAAAAAAUGUGACUAUUUUUGACCAAUGACAUUAGGAUGUUGAUAGUGGUUACAAUGGAUGAUAGUGGAUAAUUAUAGACAUGCUUUCAAAAUGGCGUAUGCUGAACAAGUGGUAUGUUUCGCUGCCGUAAAAUGGCAUAUACAACCACAAAUACAACCAUCCGACUGGUGCAGCUUAAAAAAAAAAUUUCAGGGCUUCCAUUUACUACAUGUUUCAAAGUUCAUGUAUGAGAACAAUAUUUCUUCAUUUAUUCAUAUUUUUUAGGAGUUUGCAACAUCAAAAGUUCGAAGCAAGGCAAUCGAUCAACAGGGCUCAGUCACUCAGUACUAUGCUUAGUACUUUUUUAAAUAUCUAUCGGAGAAGUCUGGCUGGGAGAAUGGUACUUAGAAUAAUUCUAGGCUAACUUUGUCAAUCCAAGAACACGGGCAGUACUGGUUUUUAUAAAUCGGGGUAUUAUUUUUUGGGUACACUUGCAAAAUGUAUCAAUUCAGGAAGAAAUUCAGAUGCUCAAAUGACUUCUUUUACAAUAACGUGGAGAGGAAAGGAAACACACAAAAAGAUGAUGCGAAUAGCAGUGUGUCAUAUGAAUCUCAAUUUUUUGAACAAGAGAAUGAAUUUGGGGAUUUGAAUGAACAAAGUGAAGAUAUUGCUGAAAAUUAUGACAAGCACCAAGAGUUAACCACCAAAACACAGGACUCGGAAGAUAUCUUUACCAAGCAAUCUAUCUCUAUUAUUACAGAGGAAGCCAAACAACCAUGUCAACUUAGUCAAAGUCAUUUGUCACCCACUGGUCACUAUACUGGGCUAUUGUUACAGUUUGACUUUGCAUCAAAUAUAUCACGUCAGCAAUCCUUUGUUGUUCAUGAUUAUAAUGCAAACAAAAGAACAAUUAUGCAUAAUUUAUUUGUAUUUGUACAUCGAUAUCCCCACCUAUUGCUUGAUGGCUAUGGUUGGAUAUUGUGCUGCUCAUGUGAUGCAAAUAGAAAGCAAUUUGUUGAAGCCCUACCUAAUAAUAUACAAUUAGAUCCUCAAAAAGAUAUACCAUAUCCCAGUUGCAUACACAUAUUAGCAAUGGAAAAAUAUCUGGUUGUGUAUGAUAGAAAGUUUGGCAUUGAAGCCAAAGAUUUUAUUGAAAAAAAAUCCACAUCCAUGAUUCAGUCUGUUUUCAGUGAUCAUUUGUACCAUGAGAUGCAACCUGAAGAAGACUUGUUUAGUGCAGUGUGCAGGGAGGUUCAGCGGAUUUCUGUAAAACCAGUGAAUAGUCCAUGGGGGGUUUGUACUUUUGUGUAUUCAAAAGUAACGCUGCCCAGCCCGAGUUAAAAUGUUGCAGCUGUUCGUCAUAUCAUUGCAUUCAUGUGACAACCCUUGCAAAAGCCAUGCAAAUCGUUGAAGAGGAUGAAAUGGAUUCUCCAUUGGCACUUUUUAAGUUUUCCUUUGGAAUUACACCAGAGAUGCGAGACUAUUUUGAAUUGGCUACACUUAGCAAAGAAAAGGUUUCUUUAUUUGAAACAGGCAAUGAGAAUGAUGCAAGCGAUUUUACUGAUCUUCCUGAAAAAAAUGGUCAUAAUUUUGGCGCCAUCUGAAAGUGGUAUUUGUUCUUGUGGUGCAGAGUGGGAUAAACGUUCUAUUCAAGAUGAAUGGUUGUACGUAGACGUGUGUUCAGUUGAAUACUUUUAUUCAAUCCAUGAUGUGAAGGUGUAUUGUAGACCUUGCUCCUCUUGUGCUAUGAAAAAGCAUUAUGAUGGCAUUGAAAACAGGAUUGUAUGGUUUGGAUCAUAUGCAGGUCAAGGACGGUCAGUGGCGUUUGCCAGUGUCUCAAAAUUCGUCCCAUGGAUAUUCACCUUGUCUGCCAGAACUGAUUCAACGAGGGAAUUAUGUUCUUGACAAUAGGAAGACACAGCAGGGAGAUUGUGCCAAAGUCACUAGACCCAAGAAGAAGCAUGGCACUUUGAUCCCCGGAAUAUUUUGUAUUCUUUGUCCCCACGGUAUACGUUAUGGAUUCGAAAUAAUGAGGGAUCACGAAUCACCAAAUAUCCCAUUUACCAUUUUACGAACACGUUUUCCUGAUGCGCCAGAGUUGGUCAUUUACGAUAAUGCCUGCAGAUUGCACGAGUAUUGUUUGAACCGAGAUGCAGCAUAUAACAUGAAAUUGUACCCCAUGCUCAAUAUGUACAAUAGCCAAGCUGCUGAACAGUGCAAUUCGUGUAUUAAGCCUCUUGCCUCCAUGGUUUCUUACAUGGAAUACGAUAACUUUUUUCUUUUUACAAAACUUCAUAUUUGGCACAGGAAUAUGUUACGCAUUGUUAAAUACAAUCCUGAGAGAGAAAUAGCCUACAAACACUAUUUUCUCACUCUUAGUCGCGUUAUUCAUUAGUAACGCGUUAUAGUUUCGUUUUUCGAAAAAUUUAAACUUGUUUUUAUAAAUAGUUUUAUCUAUACAAAAUGUUACUUCAUAGUUACCCAUAUAGUUUCCACAAAAGUAACAAUUAUAUGUAACGUCGUUACUUGUAAAAAAAUUAUUUACAUCACUUGUUAUAAAUAUAAGAAUGUUAUUCAUAUG
Xenia sp. Carnegie-2017 is the source of this 4045-nucleotide RNA transcript. RefSeq lists it as uncharacterized. Lineage: Eukaryota; Metazoa; Cnidaria; Anthozoa; Malacalcyonacea; Xeniidae. The record is from RefSeq and is a predicted model, not a curated record. The transcript has 14 exons.